CGUUGUACACACCGCCCGUCACACCAUGGGAGGUUGGUUUUUACCUGAAACCGGUGCGCUAACCGCAAGGAGGCAGCCGUCUACGGUAUGGUCAGCGACUGGGGUG
Molecule: ribosomal RNA, 106 nt
Filed under: uncultured bacterium
Lineage: Bacteria
Description: partial 16S ribosomal RNA
Rfam family: Bacterial small subunit ribosomal RNA
Source: RNAcentral